This 440-nucleotide ribosomal RNA is filed under the name uncultured bacterium. Its description in RNAcentral is "partial 16S ribosomal RNA". It matches the Rfam family "Bacterial small subunit ribosomal RNA", at positions 338 to 795 of the family's 1533-position model. The record is from RNAcentral.
CCUACGGGUGGCUGCAGUGGGGAAUAUUGCACAAUGGGGGAAACUCUGAUGCAGCGACGUCGCGUGAGUGAUGAAGUACCUCGGUAUGUAAAGCUCCUUUUGUAGGGAAGAAAAUGACGGUACGUGACUAAGAAGCUCCGGCUAACUACGUGCCAGCAGCCGCGGUAAUACGGAGGGGGCAAGCGUUAUCCGGAUUUACUGGGUGUAAAGGGAGCGUAGACGGCGGUGCAAGCCAGUUGUGAAAGCCCGGGGCUCAACCGCGGGAAUGCAGUUGAAACUGUGCGGCUAGAGUGUCGGAGAGGCAGGCGGAAUUCCUAGUGUAGCGGUGAAAUGCGUAGAUAUUAGGAAGAACACCAGUGGCGAAGGCAGCCUGCUGGACGAUGACUGACGUUGAGGCUCGAAAGCGUGGGUAGCAAACAGGAUUAGAUACCCUGGUAGUC